RNAcentral lists this microRNA (22 nucleotides) under Panagrellus redivivus. RNAcentral describes it as "prd-miR-7921-3p". Lineage: Eukaryota; Metazoa; Nematoda; Chromadorea; Rhabditida; Panagrolaimidae. The record is from miRBase by way of RNAcentral.
AGAUCGGCGGGAAUUAGCCAUG